ACGAAAGGAAGGAAAGGAAAUCAGAAGACGAAGAGGAAGAGGUGGCGAAAGAGAACAAUAAAGUUACGUUCCAGUGUUCUAGGCUGGAGACAAGGGGUCUUCCGUGUGGAACAUUACAACACAUGUACAUGGAUACAUAUGGGUAUGUUGUCUGGCGAUGCUGAUAUAUUUGCAUGGAGAAGUGUGCAUGGUUCUAGACUUUUUUUUAUGGCGUAAUCCGGAUAUCGGCACCUCUCACGUUGUGGCUUACAUGUGACCAGCCAAGUGCUGUGCCCCUACUAGUGCAUCCACAAACGACAAAACCAAACAUGUGGGAAGGUUGCUGCCACUGCUCCACGUUCCAUGUGCUCGCAAUUGUCUUGCGUGUAUGAUUAAACCAACGACGACACCCACCAGAGCGGAAGUGUUUUGCGCACACACGUUUCAGCAUGAAGCCUGCAGGUGGACGUAAAUUGUAGAAGGCAGCUAGUGGGGGAAAAUAUCAUGGUCAUAGGUCAUGUGGCUCCUGGUACAUGCCCCUGUGGAGUAACCUUUUCAGAACACACACAUACAGUUUGCUCACAGAACCAAUGAGUAGGAUGUUGCUCGAAUACCGAGAGAAAAUGGCAUGACAGAUACAAAGAUCGUAUGACAUAGUAUGGGAAUAAAAACAUU
Ornithodoros turicata is the source of this 654-nucleotide long non-coding RNA. RefSeq lists it as uncharacterized. The record is from RefSeq and is a predicted model, not a curated record. NCBI's taxonomy places the organism in Eukaryota, Metazoa, Arthropoda, Arachnida, Ixodida, Argasidae. The transcript is spliced from 3 exons.